GACGAACGCUGGCGGCGUGCUUAACACAUGCAAGUCGAACGGAAAGGCCCUGCUUUUGUGGGGUGCUCGAGUGGCGAACGGGUGAGUAACACGUGAGUAACCUGCCCUUGACUUUGGGAUAACUUCAGGAAACUGGGGCUAAUACCGGAUAGGAGCUCCUGCUGCAUGGUGGGGGUUGGAAAGUUUCGGCGGUUGGGGAUGGACUCGCGGCUUAUCAGCUUGUUGGUGGGGUAGUGGCUUACCAAGGCUUUGACGGGUAGCCGGCCUGAGAGGGUGACCGGCCACAUUGGGACUGAGAUACGGCCCAGACUACUACGGGACGCAGCAGAGGGGAAUAUUGCACAAUGGGCGGAAGCCUGAUGCAGCAACGCCGCGUGCGGGAUGACGGCCUUGGGGUUGUAAAGCGCUUUCGCCUGUGACGAAGCGUGAGUGACGGUAAUGGGUAAAGAAGCACCGGCUAACUACGUG
This 468-nucleotide ribosomal RNA is filed under the name uncultured bacterium. RNAcentral describes it as "partial 16S ribosomal RNA". It matches the Rfam family "Bacterial small subunit ribosomal RNA", at positions 28 to 507 of the family's 1533-position model. The record is from RNAcentral.